CCUACGAGGGGCAGCAGUGAGGAAUAUUGGUCAAUGGGCGCGAGCCUGAACCAGCCAAGUAGCGUUAAGGAUGACUGCCAUACGGGUUGUAAACUUCUUUUAUAAAGGAAUAAAGUGAGGCACGUGUGCCUUUUUGUAUGUACUUUAUGAAUAAGGAUCGGCUAACUCCGUGCCAGCAGCCGCGGUAAUGUGGAGGAUCCGAGCGUUAUCCGGAUUUAUUUGGUUUAAAGGGAGCGUAGAUGGGUUGUUAAGUCAGUUGUGAAAGUUUGCGGCUCAACCGUAAAAUUGCAAUUGAUACUGGCAGUCUUGAGGACAGUUGAGGUAGGCGGAAUUCGUGGUGUAGCGGUGAAAUGCUUAGAUAUCACGAAGAACUCCGAUUGCGAAGGCAGCUUACUAAACUGCCACUGACAUUGAUGCUCGAAAGUGUGGGUAUCAAACAGGAUUAGAUACCCUAGUAGUC
RNAcentral lists this ribosomal RNA (460 nucleotides) under uncultured bacterium. Its description in RNAcentral is "partial 16S ribosomal RNA". It matches the Rfam family "Bacterial small subunit ribosomal RNA", at positions 338 to 795 of the family's 1533-position model. The record is from RNAcentral.